CCUACGGGUGGCUGCAGUGGGGGAUAUUGCACAAUGGGGGAAACCCUGAUGCAGCGACGCCGCGUGAGUGAAGAAGUAUUUCGGUAUGUAAAGCCCUGUCAGCAGGGAAGAGAAUGACGGUACCUGAGUACGAAGCCCCGGCUAACUACGUGCCAGCAGCCGCGGUAAUACGUAGGGGGCAAGCGUUAUCCGGAUUUACUGGGUGUAAAGGGGGCGUAGACGGCGAAGAAAGUCUGGAGUGAAAGCCCGGGGCCCAACCGCGGAACUGCUCUUGAAACUUGGUGGCUGGAGUACAGGAGAGGCAAGCGGAAUUCCUGGUGUAGCGGUGAAAUGCGUAGAUAUCAGGAGGAACACCAGUGGCGAAGGCGGUCUGCUGGACAGCAACUGACGGUGAGGCGCGAAAGCGUGGGGAGCAAACAGGAUUAGAUACCCGGGUAGUC
RNAcentral lists this ribosomal RNA (440 nucleotides) under uncultured bacterium. RNAcentral's name for it is "partial 16S ribosomal RNA". It matches the Rfam family "Bacterial small subunit ribosomal RNA", at positions 338 to 795 of the family's 1533-position model. The record is from RNAcentral.